Molecule: ribosomal RNA, 494 nt
Filed under: uncultured bacterium
Lineage: Bacteria
Description: bacterial SSU rRNA
Rfam family: Bacterial small subunit ribosomal RNA
Source: RNAcentral
CAGUGAGGAAUAUUGGUCAAUGGCCGGAAGGCUGAACCAGCCAAGUCGCGUGAGGGAAUAAGGCCCUAUGGGUCGUAAACCUCUUUUGUCAGGGAGCAAAGGCGUCCACGUGUGGACGAGAGGAGAGUACCUGAAGAAAAAGCAUCGGCUAACUCCGUGCCAGCAGCCGCGGUAAUACGGAGGAUGCGAGCGUUAUCCGGAUUUAUUGGGUUUAAAGGGUGCGUAGGCGGAGUGUCAAGUCAGCGGUAAAAUUUCGGGGCUCAACCCCGUCGUGCCGUUGAAACUGACACCCUUGAGUGAGUGAGAAGUAAGCGGAAUGCGUGGUGUAGCGGUGAAAUGCAUAGAUAUCACGCAGAACGCCGAUUGCGAAGGCAGCUUACCGGCGCUCAACUGACGCUGAGGCACGAAAGUGCGGGUAUCGAACAGGAUUAGAUACCCUGGUAGUCCGCACAGUAAACGAUGAAUGCUAGAUGUCCGGGGCGAAUGAGCUCUGG